UGCGGCUUCUCCUUUCAUGAG
This is a non-coding RNA of Caenorhabditis elegans, 21 nucleotides long. The record is from Ensembl. NCBI's taxonomy places the organism in Eukaryota, Metazoa, Nematoda, Chromadorea, Rhabditida, Rhabditidae.